Molecule: ribosomal RNA, 302 nt
Filed under: uncultured bacterium
Lineage: Bacteria
Description: partial 16S ribosomal RNA
Rfam family: Bacterial small subunit ribosomal RNA
Source: RNAcentral
GCAGUAGCCGCGGGAAUACGUAGGGUGCGAGCGUUAAUCGGAAUUACUGGGCGUAAAGCGUGCGCAGGCGGUUGUGUAAGACAGGUGUGAAAUCCCCGGGCUUAACCUGGGAACUGCGCUUGUGACUGCACAGCUAGAGUAUCGCAGAGGGGGGUGGAAUUCCACGUGUAGCAGUGAAAUGCGCAGAGAUGUGGAGGAACACCGAUGGCGAAGGCAGCCCCCUGGGCCAAUACUGACGCUCAUGCACGAAAGCGUGGGGAGCAAACAGGAUUAGAUACCCGCGUAGUCCCUGUCUCUUAUAC